AGUGGUGAUCCAAACAGGAAGUGACAUAGCAGGGAGUUUCAUAUUUAAGCAAGGACAAGCAGAAGUAGUUCCUUUUCCCCUUCACUCUUCCUCUUGCUCUCUGCUCUGAGCCACCAUGUGAUCCCGGGGAUGAGGAUGCCAGCAGAAGGCAUCAGAUAAGGCUGGAACAGAUAAUCAGCGUAACCAAUGCUCAUCCUGAUCUACUGCACUGAAGCCUUGCCAUGCUAACUGUGAUCUUAUUCCAAGAUAAAUGCACAGGAUUUGGAACGUGCUUCUGGGAAUUAAUCUCCUAUGAACUCCACUGCUCACAAUCUGUUUGAAGAGACCAUGUAUAAACAUGGAGCCGAGAUGGCAGUUCCAGAAGAGAGCAUGAUGAGGCAGACAGCUGCGUGACAUGCUGCAGGAAGACAUCCUGGCACAGUCAAUGAAACAUGGACUUGAAUUAAGACAAUAAGCUUGUUAAACCUCAACAUGAUAGAUUUACAGACCCUGGUGAAUAGCUCAACUUUUAGACUAUAAUUUGCCAAACUUUAAAUGGAAGUAACAUAUUUUCAUAUCUUACCUGUAUAUGUCUGGUCACAGUCAUAAUAAUAAUAAAUGGCAUAAAAUUAUAUAUUAUGCUAUUAGACCCUCGUUUCUAUUAGAAUUGUAUUAAGAGGCAAAUGGACCAAAAUGUGCUAUAGAGGCAAAGAAUACAUGGC
Molecule: long non-coding RNA, 701 nt
Filed under: Cricetulus griseus (Chinese hamster)
Lineage: Eukaryota; Metazoa; Chordata; Mammalia; Rodentia; Cricetidae
Description: lncRNA (ENSCGRG00000026193.1)
Source: RNAcentral